RNAcentral lists this ribosomal RNA (301 nucleotides) under uncultured bacterium. RNAcentral's name for it is "partial 16S ribosomal RNA". It matches the Rfam family "Bacterial small subunit ribosomal RNA", at positions 509 to 809 of the family's 1533-position model. The record is from RNAcentral.
CAGUAGCCGCGGUAAUACGUAGGUGGCAAGCGUUGUCCGGAUUUACUGGGCGUAAAGCGCGCGCAGGCGGAUGGUUAAGUAGGAAGUGAAAGGUUGGAGCUCAACUCCAACAUUGCUCCCUAUACUGGCCGUCUUGAGUCCCGGAGAGGAAAGCGGAACGACACGUGGAGCGGUGAAAUGCGUUGAUAUGUGUCGGAACACCAAUGGCGAAGGCAGCUUUCUGGACGGGUACUGACGCUCAGGCGCGAAAGCCGAGGUAGCGAACAGGAUUAGAUACCCGUGUAGUCCCUGUCUCUUAUAA